UACGUAGGGUGCAAGCGUUAAUCGGAAUUACUGGGCGUAAAGCGUGCGCAGGCGGUUUUGUAAGUCUGUCGUGAAAGCCCCGGGCUCAACCUGGGAAUUGCGAUGGAGACUGCAAGGCUUGAAUCUGGCAGAGGGGGGUAGAAUUCCACGUGUAGCAGUGAAAUGCGUAGAGAUGGGGAGGAACACCGAUGGCGAAGGCAGCCCCCUGGGUCAAGAUUGACGCUCAUGCACGAAAGCGUGGGGAGCAAACAGG
This 253-nucleotide ribosomal RNA is filed under the name uncultured bacterium. RNAcentral's name for it is "partial 16S ribosomal RNA". It matches the Rfam family "Bacterial small subunit ribosomal RNA", at positions 524 to 776 of the family's 1533-position model. The record is from RNAcentral.